This is a long non-coding RNA of Myzus persicae (green peach aphid), 604 nucleotides long. RefSeq lists it as uncharacterized. The transcript has 2 exons. Lineage: Eukaryota; Metazoa; Arthropoda; Insecta; Hemiptera; Aphididae. The record is from RefSeq and is a predicted model, not a curated record.
UCAUAAUUUUAUAAGAAAAUAUUAUUAUUUUUGUGUGUACGGAGUGCGAAUAACCAAUUUUACCAAUGGGUCAUUAGCGCACAAUCAGUUAUACACUAUUACAAUAUUGCAUGUAUAGCCCCCUACGCUGUUUUACACUAUUGUAAUAUUUAUUACUUGGGUUCUUAUCAUUUGUAUCGUGUUCGCUGUUGUCUGCUUGACGUUCCUACAGAUUGUUAAUAAUUGUAUUGCAUCAACCGUAUACUCUUGUUUUCAUUGUUUAAAUUGUUUUAAAUUGUAAUACAAUGAGUGAUUGUGAUUCUUCAACCAAAGUCGAUCAGGUUGCAGAUUUAGAAUAACCAAUUUUACCCUGGCCAAAUUAUUAAAAAAUAUUUUAAAGUAUUAAGAAUCAAUGAGAUUUGAGGAUAAUUUUUUUUAUAAGAAGCUGAAAGUGAAGUGCUUAAGAUGUGUCGAUACAAAGUGUUACAAGGUGGAUUCACGUUCAAACUCUAAUAUAAGAAAACAUUUAAGCAUUACAUUGAUAAUGCAGCGAACAAAAACUCUUUAAAGAGACUCAAUGAUGGAUCAUUGAAGCAUAAUCCUGGUAGUUCUUUAAAACAACCAG